UUUUUGAAAGUUAAGAGAAUUCACUCCACCCCUUUAAGAGACGAUAUGCCUCAGGAGAUACACCUGUACCCAUGCCGAACACAGAAGUUAAGCCCUAGAACGCCGGAAGUAGUUGGGGGUUGCCCCCUGUGAGAUAGGGAAGUCGCUUAGC
RNAcentral lists this ribosomal RNA (151 nucleotides) under Streptococcus pneumoniae SP9-BS68. The record is from RNAcentral. Lineage: Bacteria; Bacillati; Bacillota; Bacilli; Lactobacillales; Streptococcaceae.